This 500-nucleotide ribosomal RNA is filed under the name uncultured bacterium. RNAcentral's name for it is "bacterial SSU rRNA". It matches the Rfam family "Bacterial small subunit ribosomal RNA", at positions 32 to 507 of the family's 1533-position model. The record is from RNAcentral.
AAUCAACGCUGGCGGCGUGCCUAACACAUGCAAGUUGAACGCGAAAGGGGCUUUGGCCCUGAGUAGAGUGGCGAACGGGUGAGUAACACGUGGGUGAUUUACCUUCGAGUGGGGGAUAACGUUCCGAAAGGAACGCUAAUACCGCAUGACGUUUUGGGUUUGAAGACCUGGAAACCAAAGCUGGGGACCGCAAGGCCUGGCGCUAGAAGAGGAGCCCGCGCCUGAUUAGCUAGUUGGCGGGGUAACGGCCCACCAAGGCGACGAUCAGUAGCCGGCCUGAGAGGGCGGACGGCCCCACUGGGACUGAGACACGGCCCAGACUCCUACGGGAGGCAGCAGUGGGGAAUUGUUUGCAAUGGGCGCAAGCCUGACGACGCAACGCCGCGUGGAGGAUGAAGGUUUUUGGAUUGUAAACUCCUGUUGAUCGGGACGAACGGGCUCCAGCCCAAUACGCUGGAGCAAUGACGGUACCGAUUGAGGAAGCCCCGGCUAACUUUGUG